UGGGGGAUGUCAGGGACAGAGAAAACAACUUGUUUUCCAGGUGGUGAGCGGGGUAAGUGAACUACAAUAGAGCUGACGACACGCUGUGUCUGAACGAGGACGCAGUGCAGGGCGUCAAAUGAGUGGAAGCCAAGACGCCCAUCGGAACCGUGUCCUCCCUUUGUCUUCUGUCCUUCCCCUGAAAGGUGUGGGGGGACCCGUAUCACGCGGAUCGGAGGUGGCGGGGCCGUGGGGGCUGUGGCGCCCCUGAGGCGAAGGCGGAGGCGCCAAGACGCCGCUCCUUGCCUUUCAGGAUGCCAGCGGGGUACAAGCAAGGUCGCGGGCAAGGCCGCACGGCGGCUCGGAGCUCCAAGGUGGGGCACGAAGGAAGCGAAGACUGCCGGCCGGAGGGCCAAGGCGCGGGCGGCGCCAGGCGGGCGGGGCGCGCGGAGCGCUGCUCUCGUGGGAGAAAGGAACCUCUGCAGAGGCGGCUCGGGCCGCCGCCGGAAGGCUGGGGGCCGGGGGCCCCGAGCGACCUAGCCGCCGAGGCGUUGUCAGCCUCUGCGCAUCCGUGGCCACGUGACCGUGACUCAACAGGCGCCGCCUUCCGGGUCUCAGGCCGGGUAGUGCAAGGCAGCGGAGGGAAAGUGGAAAGACUGCUCGAGGUGCGGGGAUGGGCGUUUAUCUCGGCCCCACCAACCCCCCUCCUCCGUCCAGCUCGGCCAACUGGGAGGCUGCCAAGUGCGCGCCAGCCGGGCUCGCCCGGGACGCGCCCAGCCCGCGUCUGCGACGUGGAAAACCUAGAGAGCCCUAAACAUCAGGGCUAAUCUGGGGUUCUUUGAGGAAAGCCGCAGGGAGCUUCGAGGCCCCGGGGAGUUUUCGCGGACUCGCCUGACCGCGUGGGGGGAUGCAUUGCGGAAGACUGCAGCCUGGAAAGUGAUCACGCCCUUUUGGCAGCUGUCGAUGCUUGUGUACGUGGCUCCUGCCGUGGGGAACUGUGGCUGUGACAGCCUGCACAGGAGGGAGGGACGAAAGAGUGAGGCCUUGACCCAUCCCCUGUGCCCAGGGAGUCCCGAAGGCACUGGUAUUUUUCAGAUGAAACUCCCAGACCCACCAGGAAAUCCUCGAGGCUUUCUGUGAAUGUGAGAUUUGUCGUGCAGCAGGUUCCAGAUGGUCCCCCGUUAAGACUUUUGGAAAUCGAAAUUGGCUUAUCGAAAAUUUCCUCUGAUCCUGCUACUGCAUUGAAUAGACCCAGACACACCGCCCUAUCUGUGCUCUUUUGUCUUUUGCUGAUGGAGCUUCUGUGAAGGGCAAAUUCAAAGUACAACUGACUACCACAGCAAAGGGAGAGGAAAAUGGUGGUUGUGUUUCUGAGGGGUCCUGGGCAGCUAAGCCUUUAACUCUUGAGGUAGCAGUGCCAGUCACAGCUACUUGCUGGCCUAAGGCAGAGGAAGCAGUAGUUAGACCAGAGCAAAUCAAAUCAAACCAAAUAAAGCCAAACAAAAAUGGCAUCGGGGGGUGAGGGGAGAGGGAGAGAGAAGAGAGGGAAUGAAAACGAG
Long non-coding RNA from Bos taurus (domestic cattle), 1538 nucleotides. Lineage: Eukaryota; Metazoa; Chordata; Mammalia; Artiodactyla; Bovidae. The record is from Ensembl.